RNAcentral lists this ribosomal RNA (293 nucleotides) under uncultured eukaryote. RNAcentral's name for it is "partial 18S ribosomal RNA". It matches the Rfam family "Eukaryotic small subunit ribosomal RNA", at positions 6 to 301 of the family's 1831-position model. The record is from RNAcentral.
GGUUGAUCCUGCCAGUAGUCAUAUGCUUGUCUCAAAGAUUAAGCCAUGCAUGUCUAAGUAUAAACAAUUCUAUACUGUGAAACUGCGAAUGGCUCAUUAAAUCAGUUAUAGUUUAUUUGAUAAUUUCUUUCUACAUGGAUAACCGUGGAAAAUCUAGAGCUAAUACAUGCAUAAAAACCCGACUUCGGAAGGGUUGUAUUUAUUAGAUAAAAACCAAUGUGGGCAACCACUCUUUUGGUGAUUCAUAAUAACUUCUCGAAUCGCAUAGCCUUGUGCUGGCGAUGUUUCAUUCA